Long non-coding RNA from Girardinichthys multiradiatus, 800 nucleotides. RefSeq lists it as uncharacterized. The record is from RefSeq and is a predicted model, not a curated record. The transcript has 2 exons. NCBI's taxonomy places the organism in Eukaryota, Metazoa, Chordata, Actinopteri, Cyprinodontiformes, Goodeidae.
GGUGUUGAGUGUCACAGAUGGGUAAUGGAGGAGGAGGUGAACACAGGGCAUGUGCAGGUUAACUUCAUGCUGUCAGAGUUAUGACCUGGUUCGACGUGUUGGUCCUCAACAAGAUGGACACUACCUACAAAGAGGAUGUGUGGAUUAAAGGGGAAAAUAUUUGAGAGCAGCAGAGGGUUGAGAGUGGAGCGACAGGGAAGGAGAAAGCAGGCCUUGAGUGAAAGAGGAAGGUAGGAGGUACAACUUGGGACUCAACAGUCAGGUGUCUGGGCUGAAGCAGAAGAGUAGAUCCACUUCUGGCAGGGCAGCCAAACAGAAUCAGCACGACUGUCUGUGCUGGAUACAUCAAACACAAGAAACGUCUCCAACAGAAGCGAAUCCAACUGAGCAACAGACCUGAUUCCACCUCUAAGGGUUCAUGUAGAGCUCAUUUAAACAUCAAUCAAUAUGCAGCCCUGAUUUAGAGCUAAAUCUUUGUCUAGGUUCAGCCCAAGGAAAGUGCCUGUUCUAAUGUGGUCUAAGAUUAGACGUAGAACUAAAAUUUCAUCUAGUCUUCAAAAAAGUCUUUAACUCUUGUAAAAAUUUUAAGUUGUAAUAUUGCAGUAAUAAAUUGCAAAGAAAUACAGUCUUUCUGUUUAUGUCAGAGCUUCAAGUUAAAUGAAUAGUGGUAAACUUAAAAACAUGGUUACAUAUUCAUGCAGUAAUGAAAGAUGGAAGCAACAUACAAUUUCAUCUUAAUGGUUAUUUGAUCUAGAUAGCCUCUGCACUUGUUUAUUAAAAUAAAAAUGAACUGUUAUUAA